This 253-nucleotide ribosomal RNA is filed under the name uncultured bacterium. RNAcentral's name for it is "partial 16S ribosomal RNA". It matches the Rfam family "Bacterial small subunit ribosomal RNA", at positions 524 to 776 of the family's 1533-position model. The record is from RNAcentral.
UACGGGGGGGGCAAGCGUUGUUCGGAAUUACUGGGCGUAAAGGGCGCGUAGGCGGCUUUUCAAGUCGGGCGUGAAAUCUCCGGGCUUAACCCGGAAGGGUCGUUCGAUACUGUUGAGCUAGAGUGUGGAAGAGGCAACUAGAAUUCCGUGUGUAGCGGUGAAAUGCGUAGAUAUACGGAGGAAUACCUGAGGCGAAGGCGGGUUGCUGGGCCAACACUGACGCUCAUGCACGAAAGCGUGGGGAGCAAACAGG